This 648-nucleotide ribosomal RNA is filed under the name uncultured bacterium. Its description in RNAcentral is "bacterial SSU rRNA". It matches the Rfam family "Bacterial small subunit ribosomal RNA", at positions 137 to 771 of the family's 1533-position model. The record is from RNAcentral.
UAGGGGAUAACACUUGGAAACAGGUGCUAAUACCGUAUAACAACCAAAACCACCUGGUUUUGGUUUAAAAGACGGCUUCGGCUGUCACUUUAGGAUGGACCCGCGGCGUAUUAGCUUGUUGGUAAGGUAACGGCCUACCAAGGCGAUGAUACGUAGCCGACCUGAGAGGGUAAUCGGCCACAUUGGGACUGAGACACGGCCCAAACUCCUACGGGAGGCAGCAGUAGGGAAUCUUCCACAAUGGACGAAAGUCUGAUGGAGCAACGCCGCGUGAGUGAUGAAGGGUUUCGGCUCGUAAAACUCUGUUGUUGGAGAAGAACAGGUGUCAGAGUAACUGUUGACAUCUUGACGGUAUCCAACCAGAAAGCCACGGCUAACUACGUGCCAGCAGCCGCGGUAAUACGUAGGUGGCAAGCGUUGUCCGGAUUUAUUGGGCGUAAAGCGAGCGCAGGCGGUUUUUUAGGUCUGAUGUGAAAGCCUUCGGCUUAACCGGAGAAGUGCAUCGGAAACCGGGAGACUUGAGUGCAGAAGAGGACAGUGGAACUCCAUGUGUAGCGGUGAAAUGCGUAGAUAUAUGGAAGAACACCAGUGGCGAAGGCGGCUGUCUGGUCUGUAACUGACGCUGAGGCUCGAAAGCAUGGGUAGCGA